GACGAACGCUGGCGGCGUGCUUAACACAUGCAAGUCGAACGGAAAGGCCCUGCUUUUGUGGGGUGCUCGAGUGGCGAACGGGUGAGUAACACGUGAGUAACCUGCCCUUGACUUUGGGAUAACUUCAGGAAACUGGGGCUAAUACCGGAUAGGAGCUCCUGCUGCAUGGUGUGGGUUGGAAAGUUUCGGCGGUUGGGGAUGGACUCGCGGCUUAUCAGCUUGGUGGUGUGGUAGUGGCUUACCAAGGCAUUGACGGGUAGCCGGCCUGAGAGGGUGACCGGCCACAAUGGGACUGAGAUACGGACCAGACUGCUACGGGAGGCAGCAGUGGGGAAUAUUGCACAAUGGGCGGAAGCCUGAUGCAGCAACGCCGCGUGCGGGAUGACGGCCUUCGGGUUGUAAACCGCUUUCGCCUGUGACGAAGCGUGAGUGACGGUAAUGGGUAAAGAAGCACCGGCUAACUACGUG
RNAcentral lists this ribosomal RNA (468 nucleotides) under uncultured bacterium. Its description in RNAcentral is "partial 16S ribosomal RNA". It matches the Rfam family "Bacterial small subunit ribosomal RNA", at positions 28 to 507 of the family's 1533-position model. The record is from RNAcentral.